This is a non-coding RNA of Dipodomys ordii (Ord's kangaroo rat), 127 nucleotides long. The record is from Rfam. Lineage: Eukaryota; Metazoa; Chordata; Mammalia; Rodentia; Heteromyidae.
GUCUGCGGCCAUACCACCCUGAACGCACCCGAUCUCGUCUGAUCUCGGAAGCUAAGCAGGGUCGGGCCUGGUUAGUACAUGGAUGGGAGAUGGGGGUGGGGGGGGAAUGUCAUUGGAGGCGUGCCCU